This 73-nucleotide transfer RNA is filed under the name Neotoma lepida (desert woodrat). It matches the Rfam family "tRNA". Rfam says of the family: Transfer RNA (tRNA) molecules are approximately 80 nucleotides in length. Lineage: Eukaryota; Metazoa; Chordata; Mammalia; Rodentia; Cricetidae. The record is from Rfam by way of RNAcentral.
GGAGAGGUGGCUCAGCAGUUAAGAGCACUGGCUGUUCUUCCAGAGGACCUGGGUUCAAUUCUUAGCAUCCUCA